RNAcentral lists this ribosomal RNA (466 nucleotides) under uncultured bacterium. RNAcentral describes it as "partial 16S ribosomal RNA". It matches the Rfam family "Bacterial small subunit ribosomal RNA", at positions 28 to 507 of the family's 1533-position model. The record is from RNAcentral.
GAUGAACGCUGGCGGCGUGCUUAACACAUGCAAGUCGAACGGUGAAAGAGAGCUUGCUCUCUGGAUCAGUGGCGAACGGGUGAGUAACACGUGAGCAAUCUGCCCCUGACUCUGGGAUAAGCGCUGGAAACGGCGUCUAAUACCGGAUACGAGCUGCGAAGGCAUCUUCAGCAGCUGGAAAGAACUUCGGUCAGGGAUGAGCUCGCGGCCUAUCAGCUAGUUGGUGAGGUAACGGCUCGCCAAGGCGUCGACGGGUAGCCGGCCUGAGAGGGUGGCCGGCCACACUGGGACUGAGACACGGCCCAGACUCCUACGGGAGGCAGCAGUGGGGAAUAUUGCACAAUGGGCGAAAGCCUGAUGCAGCAACGCCGCGUGAGGGACGACGGCCUUCGGGUUGUAAACCUCUUUUAGCAGGGAAGAAGCGAAAGUGACGGUACCUGCAGAAAAAGCACCGGCUAACUACGUG